UACAGAGGGUGCGAGCGUUGUCCGGAAUCACUGGGCGUAAAGGGCGCGUAGGCGGUUUUUCAAGCGUGCGGUGAAAGCUCAGGGCUCAACCCUGAGUCGGCCGUGCGAACUGGGAGACUGGAGCACGGUAGAGGCACAUGGAAUUCCGGGUGUAGCGGUGGAAUGCGUAGAGAUCCGGAAGAACACCGGUGGCGAAGGCGGUGUGCUGGGCCGUUGCUGACGCUGAGGCGCGACAGCGUGGGGAGCAAAC
This 250-nucleotide ribosomal RNA is filed under the name uncultured bacterium. RNAcentral's name for it is "partial 16S ribosomal RNA". It matches the Rfam family "Bacterial small subunit ribosomal RNA", at positions 524 to 773 of the family's 1533-position model. The record is from RNAcentral.